GUCUGUUGAAUGAAUAAAUGAUGAGAGAAAGAAAUGAAAAGCUACUGAGAGGAAUGCAUGGACAUUAAUUUCAUUCAGUUCUAAAGCUCUUCUUUCUUGGCUUCUUUACCUGGUUCUCUGAAGAUAUCUGAAGUGAUUGCCUUUGGAUACCACAAUAGUAGGCAACUAAAUUUCUCACUCUGUGAUAUGGAAUUGCUUUGAAGGUCCACAGGAGAAGCUGCUAUUUGCCCAUGAAUCCUCCCUCACUCCAUAUGCGAAGGGGCAUCAUGGAGACUAAUGCCCUGUAC
Molecule: long non-coding RNA, 287 nt
Organism: Equus quagga
Lineage: Eukaryota; Metazoa; Chordata; Mammalia; Perissodactyla; Equidae
Exons: 3
Source: RefSeq, a predicted model, not a curated record